RNAcentral lists this non-coding RNA (24 nucleotides) under Arabidopsis thaliana (thale cress). The record is from RNAcentral. Lineage: Eukaryota; Viridiplantae; Streptophyta; Magnoliopsida; Brassicales; Brassicaceae.
UUGAGUAUGGUGAAGGAUUAGGUC